This 237-nucleotide ribosomal RNA is filed under the name Betaproteobacteria bacterium PRO4. RNAcentral's name for it is "partial 23S ribosomal RNA". It matches the Rfam family "Bacterial large subunit ribosomal RNA", at positions 2701 to 2925 of the family's 2925-position model. Lineage: Bacteria; Pseudomonadati; Pseudomonadota; Betaproteobacteria. The record is from RNAcentral.
ACGCACCUCUGGUGUACCGGUUAUGACGCCAGUCGUAUCGCCGGGUAGCUAAGUGCGGAAGAGAUAACCGCUGAAAGCAUCUAAGCGGGAAACUUGCCAUAAGAUUAGAUUUCCCGGGAGUUUAACUCCCCUAAAGGUUCGUUGGAGAUUACAACGUUGAUAGGUCGAGUGUGUAAGCGUAGUAAUGCGUUAAGCUAAUCGAUACUAAUUGGCCGUGAGGCUUGAUCCUAUAAUCUU